RNAcentral lists this long non-coding RNA (18063 nucleotides) under Podarcis lilfordi (Lilford's wall lizard). The record is from RNAcentral. Lineage: Eukaryota; Metazoa; Chordata; Lepidosauria; Squamata; Lacertidae.
CCUGUCUACACAGAGUAGCAGUGGCUCUCCAGGAUUUCAGACAGGGGUCUGCCCCAGCCCCACCUGUGUGCUAAGCAGAUGCUCUACCAUUGGGUUUUACAGAAGCUUCAAAGAAAAUGUACACAGAGUAAUUGUGAAAACAUUACAGGCAACAGAAGGUUGCCUGGUAUUAGGGGCAAUAGCUUCAUUGAUGCAUGGGAAACUGAGGUGGGGUUCCAGAAACCUGCAAAAGGGCAACAAACUACAAGAAGGACGCAGCUGGAGAGAAUGAUUCCUAGUUUCAGUUGUCUCUACUGAAAGGCACAGGGUAUGGGAAACAAGCAAGAUGAAUUGGAGCUUUUAAUACAGGAUGGCAAAUAAGACAUAUGACCUAGAAGGCGAGUAGGCAUUGUCUCAGGGUUCAAGAUUUCUUUAACAGAUUGGAGGAUUGGGUUAACAAAUGAAUUUGAAUAGGGAGAAAUGUAAGGUUCUGCACUUAGGCAGGAAGUACCAACUUCACAAAUAUAAGUUGAAGGACACCUGGCUUACUAGGAUCUCGCCAUCUUAAUGAAAUUCAAGCUUCACUUGAGUGAACAGUGUGGUGCAGUUUUUGCUGUAUGUGUAUUUAAAACAAAUUCUUUAUUGGUUUAAUUCAAUCUGCCUGUAAGCUGCCUUGUUGCUCCCUAGCACAGAAAGACAUGGAACCUAAGUUUCUUUAAACAGAUUGACCAAAAAUGGUACACAGCAAUACGCUUUGAUGUCCAACUCUCAUUGCAGUGUUGUACCAAAAUACUAUCAGCAAAUUCUGGCCUUGGUGUUUGCAGUCAAGGAAAUCAACAAGAAUUCCAAUAUAUUACCUAAUGUCACAUUAGGAUUCCACAUCUUUGAUAGUUACUUCAGUGAAAGGAUGACCUACUGGGCCACUUUGGAGCUGCUCUCUACACACUACAGAUUCGUACCCAACUACCAGUGUGACAAACAGAAAAAUCUGAUGGCCGUCAUUGGGGGACUUGACUUUGAGGUUUCCCUCCACAUGGCAGCCAUCUUAGGUGUCUACAAGAUUCCCCAGGUAAGAGUCAAACAUGGUGACUCAUUCUUCUUUCCUCUGUCCUGUUGAGAAAAGUUUUGCAUUCCAUCAUAGCCCUCUUGACAAUUUCAAAUUGUAUUCAAUAAAAGCUUUCAUCCGUCUUCAUCCAUUUCCCAACGUGUGCAUGUUCUUCAGAGGGUAGGAAUGGAACAUUUUGCAGAUACAGUUGUACACACCUGCUCUAUGUAUGUGAACAGCUUGAUCUGCCGGCCUCAGGUAGACUCCAACCAGGAUGAAUUACGGAGGCUGCUCAUCAGUCACUUGUACAUUACCUUAAUUAAUUUGACCUGGACAAUUUGGGGCUGUCAGGGGUGCCAUCAACAGGUCACUGGUUAUCUACCUAGUGAAAUCAGAGGAGCAGAGAGAGCUUUUCAAUGGUUUCAUUUUAAUCCACAGGAAGACAGAAACACGUGAAAGUAUGCUCUCACCCUUGAGCUAAUAUUGCUCAGAUUGCAACUCCACCCUGCACCGACAAUUUCUUCCUAGAAAUCAGACGCCUCCUGCUGCCUAUGGUGGCUGCUAAGAUCAAUUCUCUUUUGGGUUCUGCAGAGCAUGUCUGGUCCUUGUGGAAGGAGGGGGCUCUGACAAACUCUCUUGAGAAAGAAUGUCACUUGGCUGCUGUACUGUUUCUAAGAAAUCUGACUCCUGUCUUUGUUCAUUGCCACCUUGCUCUGGUUCAUCAUCACUUAUUAUUUCCCAGGUGCUUUUUCCUUCUCAGGUGUGACCUGUCUCAAACCACCACACCAUACUCUCCCCCCUUCCUUCUUUCUGGAAGGUUCUUAGGGUGCUGCUCUCCACCACUCCUCCUCAUCUGCCCAUUCCCUGACGGGCUUACUAAGACAGCAGGUCCAAAGCACAAUGGUUUCAUCAUUGCAAUCCACACAUAACCAAUGUUUCUACUGCAUUAAUGGGAAUUAAGUGUCCGUUUCCUUCUAGCUCACUUAUGGCUCCUUUGCCCCAGAGGAUGCUGGUCAAAGCCAAUCCACUCCCUUCUACUGGAUGGUGCCCAAUGAAGCCCAUCAGUACACUGGGAUUGUUGAGUUACUUCUGCACUUUGGAUGGACGUGGGUUGGGUUGUUCGCGGUGGAUAGUGAGAGUGGAGAGAAGUUUAUGGAAAUCCUGCAAACUCUGCUUUUCCAGAGAGGCAUUUGCUUGGCCUUUUCAGAGAGAACUCCAAAAGGCUCAUAUUUUGAAGAGUAUUAUCACAUGAUUCCCCAGUGGCUCCAAGCCUAUCUUGCUAUUGCGGAAAGCAAAGCCAAUGCUGUUGUUGUCUAUGGAGAAGCCAAGUCCAUGUGUUUUUUGCAACUAUGGCUAGCGGCAGGGGGUGCAGAAAAUGUGACAUCUAUGGAGAAGGUAUGGAUUAUGACUGCUCAAUUGGAUUUCUCAGCAUUGGCCUUUCAAAUGAGCCAGAGUAUGCAACCAUUUCAUGGCUCCAUCUGCUUCACAGUGCACUCAAAGGAGGUGCAAGGAUUCAAGACCCUUCUUCGCUCCCUCAAUCCUUUCAUGGCAGGUGAAGAUGGUUUUCUUCAGCAGUUCUGGCUGCAGACAUUCUAUUGUUUCUUUUCAAAAUCCAGUACUGAGUUCAGUGAACCCUGCACUGGACAGGAGAAGCUGGACAGCCUCCCCUCGUCUGGCUUUGAGAUGAGCAUGACUGGCCACAGCUACAGCAUCUACAAUGCUGUCUAUGUUGUGGCACAUGCCCUACAUGAUGCCAUGUACAGAUCCAGGGCAAAAGACAGAGGAAUUGUGAGAAGAUGGAGACCGCAGCUUCAGAAAUUGCAGCCUUGGCAGGUAAUGGCUCUUUUUUUUUGGUAUAUCUUUUAAUUAUUAUUUCAUUUUAUAUUGUUGAUAAAGCAAAGAUAACGCAAUUUUAACAACAGACAAAAAUUGAGAGAUGAAUAACUGAACUGUAAAAUAGGCAGGUAGGAUGUGUAGCUGCACGUGAGUUAAAUAAAGACUUUAAAGUCCAAAUUAAGUCCAAUUGUAUCAGAUCACCAAGCAUAGUUCCAGAUUUGCCAGGUUUGUGGGGAGGGGUUGUUUUGAAAACGUUGGUUCUGCUGUAUAUGCCAAAUCAUAUAAAACGUGUCUAGUCCUUGUCAAAAUCUCAAAUUAUUUGUGAUUAUUUUGCUAUAGCUAUAUUCCAGAGUGAGUGGUACAAAGUGUCCAGCAUCAGAUUUUUGGGCUGUGUUCUAUUGAGUUGCCAUUACUAUGAAUGCUGCCACUUUAAUCUUGCCAAUUUUUUGGCAACAUAUUUACAAUGGUAUCAUCAGAAAUACACAGUGACAUUCAUUUUGGACAACAAACCAUCUUUUUAUAGUAAUAUUUAUCAUUUCUGAGAAAAUCGGAUACAACCCACUCACCUGAGCUUCAGCUCUUCAAAACAGCUAGGUGUGAUAUUGUCAAUGGCAAUUUCUAUCUCAACUAGAGUCUUAACAGGAACACCUGUUUUGCCUGUUCCUCCCUCAGUCUUACCCUCCCACCAUUUUCUUGUUCUUUCAUUUAUACCCUUUCUGCAUUGAACUUCAUGGAUGUUUGCAUGAUGAUUUUGGAAGUCCUGUUUAAGCUUUGUUUUGUUUUUAUAAUUAAUUUUUAUUCAGUUUCCAAUAUACAUUCCAUCCAUAUUUAACAUCCACUUCUAACAUAUACAUCUUUUAGACUUCCCUCAGCCUAUCUGACAAUUUUCCAUAUAAUCACAAUUACUCACAUUUCUUAAAUUUAUAUUGCGCUUUAACAAUCUUAAUCUUAUCAUAUCUUUUAAGCAACAUUUCUGUCCAUCGUUUUCACAGAGCUUCUUGAAAGCCAACAAGCGUUAUUUGCUCCUCACAUACAUUUUUGGUAUACUCUGUGAAUUUAUUCCAGUCCUCGGUGAAUCUCUGAUCACGCUGGUUCCGAAUUUUCCCCGUUAAUUUGUCCAUUUCUGCAUAUUCCAUCAGUUUCAUUCUCCAUUCUUCCCUCGUCGGCAUUUCUUCCUGUUUCCAUUUCUGGGCCAUCAAAAUUCUAGCUGCUGUCACUGCAUACCUAAAUAAUUUCACAUCAUUCUUUUUAAUUUCAUUCCCUAAUAUUCCUAAUAAAAAUGCUUCUGGUUUCUUAACAAAAGUAUAUUUCAACAUUUUCUUCAUCUCAUUAUAAAUCAUUUCCCAGAAGCCUUUCACUUUCUUACACUCCCACCACAUGUGAUAAAAUGUUCCUUCUUUUUCCUGACAUUUCCAACAUUUAUUACUGACUUUAUACAUCUUACCAAGUUUCACUGGUGUUACAUACCAUCUAUACAUCAUUUUCAUAACAUUUUCUUUUAUUGUAGUGCAUGCAGUGAAUUUCAUUCCUUCUUUCCACAAUUUUAUCCACUCAUCAAAUUGUAUAUUAUAACCAAAAUCUAUGGCCCACUGAAUCAUAAUUGAUUUUACUUCCUCAUCCUUUGUAUGCCACUCAAGUAAUAAUUUAUACAUUUUUGAUAAAAUUUUAACAUCACUAUUCAAGAUUUCUUGAUGAAACCUAGAUUUCUUUUCCUGGAAACCUCUUUCUGACAACUCUUUUUUGAACAUUGCAUUUAACUGAAAAUAGUGCAACCAGUCACUCACAUUUUCUUUAACUUCUUCAUAUGGUCUCAGUUUCCAUUUAUUACCUUCUUUAAUUAUCAAAUUCUCUUAAGUAAUCCAUCUCCCUGUCAUAUUGAUCUUUUUCACACUCAUUAUCUCCAAUGGUGAUAGCCAAUAUGGAGUUUUAAACUCUAAUAAAUUUUUAUACCUAUUCCAGACUUCAAUCAACGAUCUUCUUCUAAAGAUGUGGUUUUCAAAACCUUUAUGCACUCUAUUCUUUUCACACCAUAAAUACGCGUGCCAACCGAAUCUAUUAUCAUAACCUUCUAAGUCCAACAAUUCUGUGUUUUCUAACUUUAUCCAUUCUUUCACCCAGCAAAGACACGAAGCUUCAUAAUAUAGCUUUAAAUCUGGCAGGGGAAGUCCUGUUUAAGCUUUGAAAUACAUAUACAGUGUGCCUUAGUCCUAUACGGAGGAAUCUACAGAGGAAAGAGAGAUCAAAAUUUACUGUUAUUAUUGCUAUUGUUAUUAUUUUGUGAUUAUAUGAAAUCUUGUCUACUGCCUUGGAAGAGGCAAUGGCACUUUAAAAGGCUAUGCUGAACAUAAGAUAAGGUUGAGUUUUAAACAAUUGUCCUUUUCCUGCCAUCUCAAUGCAGCUCCACCCAUUUCUUAGGAGUGUCUCAUUUAACAACAGUGCGGGAGAAGAAGUGUCUUUUAGUGAGAACAGGGAAUUAGAAGCUGGAUUCGAUAUUACCAACUUGGUCACUUUCCCAAAUAACUCCUUCAUCAGAAUGAAGGUUGGAUGGAUGAAUUUGGAUGCUCCCCCAGGAAAAGAGUUUUCCAUCAAUGAAGACAAAAUGGUGUGGCACAGGAGUUUUCAGCAGGUGGGGCAUGAUUUCAGCAAAUUGCAACUCCAGUGGGUCCUAAAUGAGAUGCUUGCAUCUUUGAAGCCUAGCUGAGACAUGGAUCCUGUAUUUUUCCUCACUUGUUGUUUAUGAAAACCUCUAUGAAUGUUGUGGGGCUCUGAUGCCCUGAAGGAGGCCAGGACAUAGUUCAUUAUUAUAUGCUUGUUUGUUUAUUGCAUUUUUAGUCCACCUUUCCUUUGCUUACUUCCCAUUUUAUCCUAACAACCAACAACCCUGUAAGGUAGUGUAGACUGAGAGCAGCAGUGACUGGUCCAAGGUCACCCAAUGAGUUUCAUUUGAACCCUGGUCUUCCACUUCCCUGUCUAGCACAUUCUUUAAAGAUUUCUAGGCCAGCACAGUGUGACCUAAGCCUAACCUCCAACCAACUUCUUUGGGGAGAAAGAAAAGGGAGCUGAGCCUGGAGACAGAGGAGGCAGACUUCUGCAGAGAAUGCCUGGUUUGGAGGCUAGUAAUUCUCAAGUUAUAGUAGCAGAAGUCUGGCAGAGUCCAGCACUAUCCUUGGUUUUGAGGCUGCUUAACUUGUGUACGAUUGUCUCUUGGCCCAGUGUAUUUAGUCUGGGGUUCUCAGUUCCCAAUAUUUGUGUUUUUCAGGUGGAAAAACUGAAGGAACCUGACAGUGUAUAUAGGUAGCUGCUUAUUUAAAUCACUUAGGAUGUCAAAACAUCCUUUCAACUCUACUUUAAAUCCUUUUCAGUUUUAUAAGAAAUGUAUUUUUCCAAAUAAUAAUAAUAUUACUGUUCAGGUGGACUCCCUCCCUCCCUCUUUUUUAUUUUUACUUUUUUAAAAACACAUUGAAAUGGCCAUAACUUCAUUUUCAGAGUCACAAAACAUCUUCUGUCUCAUUAGAUGCCAUUAAUGGCUGUUGACAGCUCAUUGUUUUCAAAAUUCUCUUAAUAUUCAGCAGGCCAUUUCUCCCAUCCACUUGAUCCCUUGCAGCCCAGAAAAUGGAGUUCAGGUUCUCCAAAGGUCCAUUAUUCCCCCUGUGCUAAACAUUUCCUUAUGAUUAAUUAAAAUUCACAGGUGCCACCCCUCUCUCAAUGCAACAAAAAUUGCCCUUCUGGUACUAGGAGAAAAAGCAGGAAGGGGAGAAAUUCUGCUGCUAUGACUGUGCUCCAUGUUCAGAAGGCAAGAUUUCAUACCAGAAAGGUAGGAGACAUUAGGUAGCUUUCAGAUAACUCAGAUUUCCUGUGAAGGGUCUGUGUCAAUGUGAAAGGUGUCACAGUUGCUGCUAUUGAUGUAGUUCUGAUUUCCAUGGUGAUUGAAGUUCACAGACUUGGAGCUCUUUAUUGCAACCAGCUGAUGGCCCAGCAACGAGGCCCAGCAUUUUCAAAGAGGUGCUUUGCAAGCCCAAAUGAUCAGAUGAUGGUUGGGGUUUACAAAGCACACUGUUACCUGCCCUACACCUAACAUCAGAGAUGACAUCAGAUACAGGGCCCGUAGGUGUAACUUGCUAAAAUGGCCCCAUACUGCCAGGAGGAUGCAUACCUACUCUCAAGUUGCACCCUUAAAGGGAAUCCUUUCUUCUUUUCAGACAUGAAUGACUGUGUCGGAUGCUCAGAAGAUCACUAUCCAAACAGGAACCAAACACAAUGCAUUGCAAAGUCCAUCAGCUUCUUGACUUUGGAAGAACCGCUUGGGAUGAGCUUAGCUUUUGGCUCCGUAUUCUCCUCUUUGCUGACCAUCUUGUCCCUCGCCAUCUUUAUGAAGCAUCAGGACACACCGAUUGUCAGGGCCAAUAAUCGGGACCUCACCUACGUUCUCCUCCUGUCUCUCCUUCUCUGUUUUCUCUGUCCCCUCAUCUUCCUCAGCCGACCAGACAGAGUGACCUGCCUUGUCCGACAAAUGGCUUUUGGUGUGGUUUUCACAGUGACUGUUUCUUGUGUGUUGGCCAAAACCAUCACCGUUGUUCUGGCAUUCAUGGCCACCAAACCAGGAUCCAGAAUGAGGAAAUGGGUGGGGAAAAGACUGGCAAGCGCCAUUGUGUUGACUUGUACUAUUAUCCAAGCUGGUAUUUGCACUGUGUGGCUGGGAACCUCUCCCCAUUUCCCCAUUUUGACAAGCAUUCUGUGACAGGAGAAAUUAUUCUGGAAUGUAAUGAAGGGUCAGCUGCCAUGUUUUACUGUGUCCUGGGCUACAUGGGCCUCCUGGCCAUUGUCAGUUUUGUUGUAGCAUUUUUAGCCAGGAAACUGCCUGACAGCUUUAAUGAGGCCAAAUUCAUCACCUUCAGCAUGUUGUUAUUUUGUAGUGUUUGGAUCUCCUUUGUUCCGGUCUACCUGAGCUCCAAGGGAAAACACAUGGUGGCUGUGGAGAUCUUCUCCAUCUUGGUCUCCAGUGCUGGUUUACUGGGUUCCAUCUUUUCCCCCAAAUGCUACAUUAUCAUAUUAAGGCCUGAUCUGAAUGACAAACAGCAGUUAAUAAAGAAGAAAUAGCAAAGUACCCUGUUGUCACUUUUUUCUGUUACCCCAGAACAUGGGUAAUGAAUUUGCUGCCGACUCCUUGAUAUAAUUUUAUUUUAUUUGUUUAUUGAACUUGCUAUGUGCAUAAAAAAAAUCAGAUGGUUCUCCCCCACCCCGAGAUGUGGUCUGCACCUUUGGGAGCCCAAGGGCACAACUGGAAAACUGAGGAACUCUUGUGGACACAAAAAAACACCAAUUUCACAGAAGAAAGUGUGGAGAUGCUCAGAAACUCCACCUCCAUCCUUUCUUGUAACUUGAAUACAUUGGUUUGGGUCCUACUCUCUGUAGCAAUAGACAAGCUUGCUGCAUCUUCCAUGUGACAGCCCUUGAGGUAUUUGAAGAUGGGUAUCAUAUCUCCUCUCAGUCUCCUUUUUCUAGGCUAAACAUACCCAGCUCCCUCAACCAUUGCUCAUAAGGCUUGGUUUCCCACCCAUCAUCUUCCUGGCUGCCCUCCUCUGCACAUGUUCAGCACACAUUUUACCUCAUGAAAAUAUAAUGGGGGACUUUGCCAAAAGCCUGCCUGAACUCAAAAUAGACUAUGACCACAGCAUUCUCCUGAUCCACUACAUUUGUAAUGCCAUAAAAAAUAAAAUAAAUGAGAUUGGCCUGGUAUGACUACAACAGGCCCAGGACAGAACCCUUUGGCAUCUCUGUGGCAUCAAGAGAUAAUAUCCCUAUGCUAUGAGGAGAAAAUGAAAAGGAGGGAAAUACCCCUCUUCCCAGAGAGAGUGACAGAUGCCACAUAUACUUAUUCUGAGCUCAGAAUUGUACAUGCAGCUCUCUGUGUGAAUGAAGAAGUACUUGCAGAAGAGCCAGGACAGAAAUUCCCUACCUCAAGUUUUGUUUUCAAUUUUGCCUCCCUUACAGGCCUGUGGUCUGAAGUCUAGUGCUGCUUCCUUGGAAUCAGAGAGUCAGGGCCGAGCUCACAAUCCCCUUUGUGUCUCAAACUCUGCUCUUGAAUGCACUUUCCUCUUCACAAAGCAGCAUGUGAGAAAAGAGUUUAGGUGAAAUCACAAGGGCAGUCUUUGCCCUGGGCACAGUUUUUUCCAGGGCACGUUUUGCUCCUCACACCACCCAUGCCAGCCCUGUUGUGCUUUGCAAGUGCGAUCCCACAUCCCAGCCCCUCAAAGCAGCAUGGGGCUGGCAGGGCAUCAGGACGAUGUAAUGGGCAUGUGCCCUUCCUGCUGCGUCUUCCUCAUGUCACCCACCCAGCCUGUCACGGAUGCUUUAGUUGUGACCCCUGCAUUCCAGGGGGUCGAGCUUGAUGACCUUUGGGGGGAUCCUUUCAAUUCUACAUUUUUUUGUUUAUUUAGGUGAAUAUAUAGGGCCCCCCAUGGGACGCGGGUGGCGCUGUGGGUAAAACCUCAGCGCCUAGGACUUGCCGAUCGCAUGGUCGGUGGUUCGGAUCCCCGCGGCGGGGUGCGCUCCCGUCGUUCGGUCCCAGCGCCUGCCAACCUAGCAGUUCGGAAGCACCUCCGGGUGCAAGUGGAUAAAUAGGGACCGCUUACAAGCGGAAAGGUAAACGGCGUUCCGUGUGCUGCGCUGGCUCGCCAGAUGCAGCUUGUCACGCUGGGCACAUGACCCGGAAGUGUCUGCGGACAGCGCUGGCUCCCGGCCUAUAGAGUGAGAUGAGCGCACAACCCUAGAGACUGGCAAGACUGGCCUGAACGGGCAGGGGUACCUUUACCUUUUACUAUAGGGGCCCUAAAAAGGCCUGAAGACAGGGCCCAAUGGACCGUAUGUCCAUCAUCACAGCUCAUGCCUUGAAGUCACUCAGAGUCUGCUCACAAUUGUUCCUUUCCAGCCAAAUUCUACCAGUGGCAGGAUUCAUCUUGGCCCCAUGGGUUUACCUGCCCCAUGCCUGGCCUCACAUAACAUCAGCUGAUGGACAUGUGAAUGUGGUUUGGACCAUGAGCCCAAUGGAGAGGCUUGGUUGGCCUAACUGCUGCAGGUCAGAGGUCCUUGUUGAUUCCCCGCAAGGAGCUUUCUCUACCUGUGUAGAUUCUCUUGAGUGAUUGACAACUUUUAGGGUUCUGGAUUGUGUAAGAAAGUACCGUAAGGACAGCAAGCUACAGAGGCUCUCUUCUGAGAACACAGUAGGUGAUGAAACUGGCAGCAGGGAUGCAAUGGAGGAGAAGGGGCAACAGACUUGUUCCUGCUCCCCCCUCAUUACAAUGCCUUGAAAACACUUGAAGGAGGCUGCUGAGGGAUUAUUCUGUGUGGAUCAUUGUCUCUGCUACCUCCAAUGGACCAGCUGAGGCAAAGGGAUCAUUAUUCUCUCCCCUGUUAUUAUCAAUUACAUGGUAAUAAUCUGCUUCUGAUUAGACCUCCAUAGACUUCCAGGAAUCCAGUCUAAAAAGAAUUAAAACCCUCUCUGCCAUCCCCAGCAAAUGCUAAGGUGCUGCUGACUCGUUUAGUGAGCUUUCCCCUGGAGUUGGAUCCUAGGUCUUGGGAAUUUAGCUGGUGCAUUCGGAGAGUGCCAUUCAAGGUAAGCUGCUGUACUGAGGUUGUUUCUAAUGCCAAUGCUGAUUAGCUGUAAACAGCGAAAUCGCUGUCCAGGAAAGUGUAUUGUUCCUAGUAUGGCAGUGUUGAUGCUGUUAAUCUUCUCGCUGCCUCAAAUGGUGAAUCUGUCAAAUGUCAGUCGGAGCAUCAGUCAUCUCCAUAUCCCACACAAGUACUAUCAGUCAGGUGACCUUAUCAUUGGUGCACUUGCUUCUCACAUCGUGUCCUCUGUUGACUAUGAAACCUUCAUACAAUGGCCAUCCAUCCAUCAGAUUCUUAAUCCAUUGUAAGUGUUGCAAAUUUUCAAUUCCCAUGUCAUAUUAAUUCCUAAGUUACCAUGUGGGCUCAGAAAUACUUCCUAUUUAUUUUAUCUAUGGAGAUUUAUUACUUAUAGAGAGGGGUGCAAAAUAUCCCUCCCCACCACCUGAAUUUUAACAUCUAAAAUGAUCAAGACAGACAAUAAAUUUUUCGUCAAGCCUGUAGGAAUGAGGUGGAUUAUCUAGGAUCCAGCGUGGAAGCAAAGAAAGAGCAGUCUUCCAGUGAGAUAUGACAUGAUGUUCUGGGUGGUGUGUUUCUCUCUCACCCCCAAGCUCCCCAACCCCAUUUUCCAGAGCAGUGCUUAAUGGAGAGGAGGAGCCAUGGCCACGACCAGUCACAUGGGUGUCAUAAUCUAGAGAGCCCAGCAUUCUGAUGUCAACAGGAAAUGGGUGAAUGGCCAGUACGAACCAUUGGUCUACCUAGCUCAGGCCUGUCUACACAGAGUAGCAGUGGCUCUCCAGGAUUUCAGACAGGGGUCUGCCCCAGCUCCACCUGUGUGCUAAGCAGAUGCUCUACCAUUGGGUUUUACAGAAUCUUCAAAGAAAAUGUACACAGAGUAAUUGUCAAAACAUUACAGGCAACAGAAGGUUGGCUGCUAUCGGGGGCAAUAGCUUCAUUGAUGCGUGGGAAACUGAGGUGGGGUUCCAGAAACCUGCAAAAGGGCAACAAACUACAAGAAGGACGCAGCUGGAGAGAAUGAUUCCUAGUUUCAGUUGUCUCUACUGAAAGGCACAGGGUAUGGGAAACAAGCAAGAUGAAUUGGAGCUUUUAAUACAGGAUGGCAAAUAAGACCUAUGACCUAGAAGGCGAGUAGGCAUUGCCUCAGGGUUCAAGAUUUCUUUAACAGAUUGGAGGAUUGGGUUAACAAAUGAAUUUGAAUAGGGACAAAUGUAAGGUUCUGCACUUAGGCAGCAAGUACCAACUUCACAAAUGUAAGUUGAAGGACACCUGGCUUACUAGGAUCUCGCCAUCUUAGUGGAACUCAAGCUUCACUUGAGUGAACAGUGCGGUGCAGUUUUUGCUGUAUGUGUAUUUAAAACAAAUUCUUUAUUGGUUUAAUUCAAUCUGCCUGUAAGCUGCCUUGUUGCUCCCUAGCACAGAAAGACAUGGAACCUAAGUUUCUUUAAACAGAUUGACCAAAAAUGGUACACAGCAAUACGCUUUGAUGUCCAACUCUCAUUGCAGUGUUGUACCAAAAUACUAUCAGCAAAUUCUGGCCUUGGUGUUUGCAGUCCAGGAAAUCAACAAGAAUUCCAAUCUAUUACCUAAUGUCACAUUAGGAUUCCACAUCUUUGAUAGUUACUUCAGUGAAAGGAUGACCUACUGGGCCACUUUGGAGCUGCUCUCUACACACUACAGAUUCGUACCCAACUACCAGUGUGACAAACAGAAAUAUCUGAUGGCCGUCAUUGGGGGACUUGACUUUGAGGUUUCCCUCCACAUGGCAGCCAUCUUAGGUGUCUACAAGAUUCCCCAGGUAAGAGUCAAACAUGGUGACUCAUUCUUCUUUCCUCUGUCCUGUUGAGAAAAGUUGUGCAUUCCAUCAUAGCCCUCUUGACAAUUUCAAAUUGUAUUCAAUAAAAGUUUUCAUUCGUCUUCAUCCAUUUCCCAACGUGUGUAUAUUCUUCAGAAGGUAGGAAUGGAACAUUUUGAAGAUACAGUUGUACACACCUACUCUAUGUAUGUGAACAGCUUGGUCUGCUGGCCUCACGUAGACUCCAACCAGGAUGAAUUAUGGAGUGCUCAUCAGUCGCUUGUACAUUACCUUAAUUAAUUUGACCUGGAUAAUUUGGGGCUGUCAGGGUGCCGUCAACAGGUCACUGGUUAUCUACCUAGUGAAAUCAGAGGAGCAGAAAGAGCUUUUCAAUGGUUUCAUUUUAAUCCACAGGAAGACAGAAACACGUGAAAGUAUGCUCUCACCCUUGAGCUAAUAUUGCUCAGAUUGCAACUCCACCAUGCACCGACAAUUUCUUCCUAGAAAUCAGACGCCUCCUGCUGCCUAUGGUGGCUGCUAAGAACAAUUCUCUUUUGGGUUCUGCAGAGCGUGUCUUGACCUUGUGGAAGGAGGGGGCUCUGACAAACUCUCUUGAGAGAGAAUGUCACUUGGCUGCUGUACUGUUUCUAAGAAAUCUGACUCCUGUCUUUGUUCAUUGCCACCUUGCUCUGGUUCAUCAUCACUUAUUAUUUCCCAGGUCCUUUUUCCUUCUCAGGUGUGACCUGUCUCAAACCACCACACCAUACUCUCCCCCUUCCUUCUUUCUGGAAGGUUCUUAGGGUGCUGCUCUCCACCACUCCUCCUCAUCUCCCCAUUUCCUGACGGGCUUACUGAGACAGCGGGUCCAAAGCACAAUGGUUUCAUCAUUGCAAUCCACACAUAACCAAUGUUUCUACUGCAUUAAUGGGAAUUAAGUGUCCGUUUCCUUCUAGCUCUCUUAUGGCUCCUUUGCCUUGGAGGAUGCUGGUCAAAGCCAAUCCACUUCCUUCUACCGGAUGGUGCCCAAUGAAGCCCAUCAGUACACUGGGAUUGUUGAGUUACUUCUGCACUUUGGAUGGACGUGGGUUGGGUUGCUUGCGUUGGAUAGUGAGAGUGGAGAGAAGUUUAUGGAAAUCCUGCAAACUCUGCUUUUCCAGAGAGGCAUUUGCUUGGCCUUUUCAGAGAGAACUCCAAAAGGCUCAUAUUUUGAAGAGUAUUAUCACAUGAUUCCCCAGUGGCUCCAAGCCUAUCUUGCUAUUGCGGAAAGCAAAGCCAAUGCUGUCGUUGUCUAUGGAGAAGCCAAGUCCAUGUUUUAUUUGCAACUAUGCCUAGCGGCAGGGGGUGCAGAAAAUGUGACAUCUAUGGAGAAGGUAUGGAUUAUGACUGCUCAAUUGGAUUUCUCAGCAUUGGCCUUUCAAAUGAGCCAGAGUAUGCAACCAUUUCAUGGCUCCAUCUGCUUCACAGUGCACUCAAAGGAGGUGCAAGGAUUCAAGACCCUUCUUCGCUCCCUCAAUCCUUUCAUGGCAGGUGAAGAUGGUUUUCUUCAGCAGUUCUGGCUGCAGACAUUCUAUUGUUUCUUUUCAAAAUCCAGUACUGAGUUCAGUGAACCCUGCACUGGACUGGAGAAGCUGGACAGCCUCCCCUCGUCUGGCUUUGAGAUGAGCAUGACUGGCCACAGCUACAGCAUCUACAAUGCUGUCUAUGUUGUGGCACAUGCUCUACAUGAUGCCAUGUACAGAUCCAGGGCAAAAGACAGAGGAAUUGUGAGAAGAUGGAGACCGCAGCUUCAGAAAUUGCAGCCUUGGCAGGUAAUGGUUCUUUUGUUGUUGUUGUUGUUGUUGUAUAUCUUUUAAUUAUUAUUUCAUUUUAGAUUGUUGAUAAAGCAAAGAUAACGCAAUUUUAACAACAGACAAAAAUUGAAAGAUGAAUAACCAAACUGUAAAAUAGGCAGGUAGGGUGUGUAGUUGCACGUGAGUUAAAUAAAGACUUUAAAGUCCAAAUUAAGUCCAAUUGUAUCAGAUCACCAAGCACAGUUCCAGAUUUGCCAGGUUUUGGGGGAGGGGGUUGUUUUGAAAACGUUGGUUCUGUUGUAUAUGCCAAAUCAUAUAAAACAUGUCUAGUCCUUGUCAAAAUCUCAAAUUAUUUGUGAUUAUUUUUGUUAUAGCUAUAUUCCAGAGUGAGUGGUACAAAGUGUCCAGCAUCAGAUUUUUGGGCUGUGUUCUAUUGAGUUGCCAUUACUAUGAAUGCUGCCACUUUAAUCUUGCCAAUUUUUUUUGGCAACAUAUUUACAAUGGUAUCAUCAGAAAUACACAGUGACAUUCAUUUUGGACAACAAACCAUCUUUUUAUAGUAAUAUUUAUCAUUUCUGAUCAUUUCUGAGAAAAUCGGAUACAACCCACUCACCUGAGCUUCAGCUCUUCAAAACAGCUAGGUGUGAUAUUGUCAAUGGCAAUUUCUAUCUCAACUAGAGUCUUAACAGGAACACCUGUUUUGCCUGUUCCUCCCUCAGUCUUACCCUCCCCCCCAUUUUUCUGUUCUUUCAUUUUUACACUCUUCAUUGAACUUCAUGGAUGUUUGCAUGAUGAUUUUGGAAGUCCCGUUUAAGCUUUGAAAUACAUAUACAGUGUGGCUUAGUCCUAUACGGAGGAAUCUACAGAGGAAAGAGAGAUCAACAUUUACUGUUAUUAUUGCUAUUUUUAUUAUUUCGUGAUUAUAUGAAAUCUUGUCUACUGCCUUGGAAGAGGCAAUGGCACUUUAAAAGGCUAUGCUGAACAUAAGAUAAGGUUGAGUUUUAAACAAUUGUCCUUUUCCUGCCAUCUCAAUGCAGCUCCACCCAUUUCUUAGGAGUGUCUCAUUUAACAACAGUGCGGGAGAAGAAGUGUCUUUUAGUGAGAACAGGGAAUCAGAAGCUGGGUUCGAUAUUACCAACUUGGUCACUUUCCCAAAUAACUCCUUCAUCAGAAUGAAGGUUGGAUGGAUGAAUUUGGAUGCUCCCCCAGGAAAAGAGUUUUCCAUCAAUGAAGACAAAAUGGUGUGGCACAGGAGUUUUCAGCAGGUGGGGCGUGAUUUCAGAAAAUUGCAACUCCAGUGUGUCCUAAAUGUGAUGUUUGCAUCUUGGAAGCCUAGCAGAGACAUGGAUCCUGUAUUUUCUCUCUCUUGUUGUUUAUGAAAACCUCUAUGAAUGUUGUGGGGCUCUGAUGCCUUGAAGCAGACCAGGACAUAGUUCAUUAUUAUAUGCUUGUUUGUUUAUUGCAUUUUUAGUCCACCUUUCCUCCAAGAGCUCAAGGCUGUGUGCUUACUUCCUGUUUUAUCCUAACAACCAACCCUGUAAGGUAGUGUAGACUGAGAGCAGCAGUGACUGGCCCAAGGUCACCCAAUGAGUUUCAUUUGAAUCCUGGUCUUCCACUUCCCUGUCUAGCACAUUCUUUAAAGAUUUCUAGGCCAGCACAGUGUGACCUAAGCCUAACCUCCAACCAACUUCUUUGGGGAGAAAGAAAAGAGAGCUGAGCCUGGAGACAGACGAGGCAGACUUCUGCAGAGAAUGCCUGGUUUGGAGGCUAGUAAUUCUCAAGAUAUAGUAGCAGAGGUCUGGCAGAGUCCAGCACUAACUUUGGUUUUGAGGCUGCUUAACUUGUGUUACAAUUGUCUCUUGGCCCAGUGUAUUUAGUCUGGAGUUCUCAGUCCCCAAUAUUUGUGCUUUUUCAGGUGGAAAAACAGAAGGAACCUGACAGUGUAUAUAGGUGCUGCUUAUUUAAAUCGCUUAGGAUGUCAAAACAUCCUUUCAACUCUACUUUAAAUCCUUUUGAGUUUUAUAAGAAAUGUAUUUUUCCAAAUAAUAAUAAUAAUAUUACUGUUCAGGUGAACUCCCUCCCUCCCUCCUUUUGAUUUUUAUUUUUUUAAAAAACACAUUGAUAUGACCAUAACUUCAUUUUCAGAGUCACAAAAACAUCUUCUGUCUCAUUAGAUGCCAUUAAUAGCUGUUGACAGCUCAUUGCUGUCAAAAUUCUCUUAAUAUUCAGCAUGCCAUUUCUCCUACCCACUUGAUCCCUUGCACCCCAGAAAAUGGAGUUCAGGUUCUCCAAAGGUCCAUUAUUCCCCCUGUGCUAAACAUUUCCUUACGGUUAAUUAAAAUUCACAGGUGCCACCCCUCUCUCAAUGCAACAAAAAUUGCCCUUCUGGUACUAGGAGAAAAAAGAAGGAAGGGGAGAAAUUCUGCUGCUAUGACUGUGCUCCAUGUUCAGAAGGCAAGAUUUCAUACCAGAAAGGUAGGAGACAUUAGGUAGCUUUCAGAUAACUCAGAUUUCCUGUGAAGGGUCUGUGGCAGAGUGAAAGGUGUCACAGUUGCUGCUAUUGAUGUAGUUCUGAUAUCUAUGGUCAUUGAAGUUCACAGACUUGGAGCUCUUCAUUGCAAUGAGGUGAUGGCCCAGCAACGAGGCCCAGCAUUAUCAAAGAGGUGCUUUGCAAGCCCAAAUGAUCAGAUGAUGGUUGGGGUUUACAAAGCACACUGUUACCUGCCCUACACCUAACAUCAGAGGUGACAUCAGAUACAGGGCCAGUAGGUGUAACUUGCUAAAAUGGCCCCAUGGGCCAGAGGUUUUCUAUCACUUGAUUACCUGGGUGGUGAUGGAGAUGAGUUGCAGCAGUGCACCUGCAAAGCACAGGCCUCCUGCUGUCCAGACCCACCACCUUACUGUCCAGGCAAGCGACUGAGAUCAUUGUCUGGGGGAGGGGGGUUCAAAGCCCUUUCUCCCCAUGCUAGUCACUCCUGUGUCUGAAAAGGAUUGUCUCUUCCACACCCAACUGGUAAGUCCCAUACUGCCAGGAGGAUGCAUACCUACUCACAAGUUGUACCCUUAAAGGGAAUCCUUUCUUCUUUUCAGACAUGAAUGACUGUGUCGGAUGCUCAGAAGAUCACUAUCCAAACAGGAACCGAACACAAUGCAUUCCAAAGUUCAUCAGCUUCUUGACUUUGGAAGAACCGCUUGGGAUGAGCUUAGCUUUUGGCUCCGUAUUCUCCUCUUUGCUCACCAUCUUGUCCCUCGCCAUCUUUAUGAAGCAUCAGGACACACCGAUUGUCAGGGCCAAUAAUCGGGACCUCACCUACGUUCUCCUCCUGUCUCUCCUUCUCUGUUUUCUCUGUCCCCUCAUCUUCCUCAGCCGACCAGACAGAGUGACCUGCCUUGUCCGACAAAUGGCUUUUGGUGUGGUUUUCACAGUGACUGUUUCUUGUGUGUUGGCCAAAACCAUCACCGUUGUUCUGGCAUUCAUGGCCACCAAACCAGGAUCCAGAAUGAGGAAAUGGGUGGGGAAAAGACUGGCAAGCGCCAUUGUGUUGACUUGUACUAUUAUCCAAGCUGGUAUUUGCACUGUGUGGCUGGGAACCUCUCCCCCAUUUCCCCAUUUUGACAAGCAUUCUGUGACAGGAGAAAUUAUUCUGGAAUGUAAUGAAGGGUCAGCUGCCAUGUUUUACUGUGUCCUGGGCUACAUGGGCCUCCUGGCCAUUGUCAGUUUUGUUGUAGCAUUUUUAGCCAGGAAACUGCCUGACAGCUUUAAUGAGGCCAAAUUCAUCACCUUCAGUAUGUUGUUAUUUUGUAGUGUUUGGAUCUCCUUUGUUCCGGUCUACCUGAGCUCCAAGGGGAAACACAUGGUGGCUGUGGAGAUCUUCUCCAUCUUGGUCUCCAGUGCUGGUUUACUGGGUUCCAUCUUUUUCCCCAAAUGCUACAUUAUCAUAUUAAGGCCUGAUCUGAAUGACAAACAGCAGUUAAUAAAGAAGAAAUAGCAAAGU